RNAcentral lists this ribosomal RNA (1439 nucleotides) under uncultured bacterium. Its description in RNAcentral is "bacterial SSU rRNA". It matches the Rfam family "Bacterial small subunit ribosomal RNA". The record is from RNAcentral.
AGGGUUUGAUCAUGGCUCAGAACGUACGCUGGCGGCACGCCUAACACAUGCAAGUCGAACGAAGUAGCAAUACUUAGUGGCAGACGGGUGAGUAACAUGUGGGUAUCUGCCCUUUGGCCUGGAAUAACACGAGGAAACUUGUGCUAAUACCGGAUAAGUCUUUACGGAGAAAGCUUUAUGCACCAUUGGAUGAGCCUGCACUUGAUUAGUUUGUUGGUGGGGUAAUGGCCUACCAAGACUGUGAUCAAUAGCUGAUUUGAGAGGAUGAUCAGCCACAUUGGGACUGAGACACGGCCCAAACUCCUACGGGAGGCAGCAGUGGGGAAUCUUGCACAAUGGAGGAAACUCUGAUGCAGCGAUGCCGCGUGAGUGAAGAAGGCCCUUGGGUUGUAAAGCUCUUUCGUCGGGGAAGAAAAUGACUGUACCCGAAUAAGAAGGUCCGGCUAACUUCGUGCCAGCAGCCGCGGUAAUACGAAGGGACCUAGCGUAGUUCGGAAUUACUGGGCCUAAAGAGUUCGUAGGUGGUUGAAAAAGUUGGUGGUGAAAUCCCAGAGCUUAACUCUGGAACUGCCAUCAAAACUUUUCAGCUAGAGUAUGAUAGAGGAAAGCAGAAUUUCUAGUGUAGAGGUGAAAUUCGUAGAUAUUAGAAAGAAUACCAAUUGCGAAGGCAGCUUUCUGGAUCAUUACUGACACUGAGGAACGAAAGCAUGGGUAGCGAAGAGGAUUAGAUACCCUCGUAGUCCAUGCCGUAAACGAUGUGUGUUAGACGUUGGAAAUUUAUUUUCAGUGUCGCAGGGAAACCGAUAAACACACCGCCUGGGGAGUACGACCGCAAGGUUAAAACUCAAAUGAAUUGACGGGGACCCGCACAAGUAGUGGAGCAUGUGGUUUAAUUCGAAGAUACGCGCAGAACCUUACCAACACUUGACAUGUUCGUCGCGACUCUAAGAGAUUAGAGUUUUCGGUUCGGCCGGACGAAACACAGGUGCUGCAUGGCUGUCGUCAGCUCGUGUCGUGAGAUGUUGGGUUAAGUCCCGCAACGAGCGCAACCCUCACUUUUAGUUGCCAUCAUUAAGUUGGGCACUCUGAAAGAACUGCCAGUGAUAAGCUGGAGGAAGGUGGGGAUGACGUCAAGUCCUCAUGGCCCUUACGUGUUGGGCUACACACGUGCUACAAUGGUAUCUACAACAGGAAGCAAGACUGCGAAGUUAAGCAAAUCCCUAAAAGAUACCUCAGUUCGGAUUGCACUCUGCAACUCGAGUGCAUGAAGCUGGAAUUACUAGUAAUCGUGGAUCAGCGUGCCACGGUGAAUGCGUUCCCGGGUCUUGUACACACCGCCCGUCACACCAUGGGAGUUGGUUCUACCUUAAGGCAAGGUUUCAAACCCUUGACCACGGUAUAGUCAGCGACUGGGGUGAAGUCGUAACAAGGUAGCCGUA